GACGAACGCUGGCGGCGUGCUUAACACAUGCAAGUCGAACGGAAAGGCCCUGCUUUUGUGGGGUGCUCGAGUGGCGAACGGGUGAGUAAUACGUGAGUAACCUGCCCUUGACUUUGGGAUAACUUCGGGAAACUGGGGCUAAUACCGGAUAGGAGCUCCUGCUGCAUGGUGGGGGUUGGAAAGUUUCGGCGGUUGGGGAUGGACUCGCGGCUUAUCAGCUUGUUGGUGGGGUAGUGGCUUACCAAGGCUUUGACGGGUAGCCGGCCUGAGAGGGUGACCGGCCACAUUGGGACUGAGAUACGGCCCAGACUCCUACGGGAGGCAGCAGUGGGGAAUAUUGCACAAUGGGCGGAAGCCUGAUGCAGCAACGCCGCGUGCGGGAUGACGGCCUUCGGGUUGUAAACCGCUUUCGCCUGUGACGAAGCGUGAGUGACGGUAAUGGGUAAAGAAGCACCGGCUAACUACGUG
Molecule: ribosomal RNA, 468 nt
Filed under: uncultured bacterium
Lineage: Bacteria
Description: partial 16S ribosomal RNA
Rfam family: Bacterial small subunit ribosomal RNA
Source: RNAcentral